GGGAGUUGCUCGUGCAACUUUUGAAGAUGCGCAAAAGCAGAUGGAAGACAUAUUGGGAGCUAUUGAAAAAAAAUCUGAGAGUAUCACAAAAAUUCAAAGUGAUCUUGAAAGGAGAAAACUCGAAGCAUUGGAAGCUCAUAAAGUGGAACAAGUUCGUGUUUUAAUGAUGUACAGGGAGGGGCUCCGCAGGGACGGUGGCUGGGCGCGGGUUGGCUGGUGUGGUUCUCAACUUCACGGCGGCAGCAGCUAACAACACUUGAACCAAUGAUCACUGGAUUGCAAGAAUCAUUGCCAAAGUCCAUUGGAUUGCUUCCUUUUUAUGGAGGUGUGGCAGAUGCUAAACAGAGAGAAGUAGAUACCUGACACUUCAUGUAAACAGCCCCUUGGCUGGGUUUACUUCCCAGUGCUGAUGGGCAAGUAUUACAUUCUCGAGAUGGUGGAGAUAGUCCAAUUCUCAGUCUCUUUAAAUUAGUCACUGCUGCAAUAUUAUCUAAGCCAGGGUGCCCAAAUCCAACCUCUUUCAGCACCCUAUCAAAACAAGCAGAAGCUACAGGUACAGAGCUGAACAUUCAAUAUUUAGAAAACUCAUUAUGUGACAAGCGAAAUAGAAAAUGAUACUUAAUUUUGAAGGCUUUGUGUUGGGCAGCAGUAGAAUAUUUUGUGCUAAAAGUAAUAACUUUUCAAUAUGUUGAAUAUUUAAGACUGCUUGAAUACUUAAAGAACUUUUUGUUGUUGAUGACAGUGUUGAAUGUUUUAAACUAAUUUGUGGAUUGUUAAUACAAUGUUGAAUGUUUUUACUUUUUGUUA
Molecule: long non-coding RNA, 807 nt
Organism: Humulus lupulus (European hop)
Lineage: Eukaryota; Viridiplantae; Streptophyta; Magnoliopsida; Rosales; Cannabaceae
Exons: 4
Source: RefSeq, a predicted model, not a curated record